Molecule: ribosomal RNA, 821 nt
Filed under: uncultured archaeon
Lineage: Archaea
Description: bacterial SSU rRNA
Rfam family: Archaeal small subunit ribosomal RNA
Source: RNAcentral
GUUCGUCUAAGCCAUGCGAGUCAUAUGUUCUUUGGAACAUGGCGUACUGCUCAGUAACACGUGGAUAACCUGCCCUUGGGUCCGGCAUAACCCCGGGAAACUGGGGAUAAUACCGGAUAACGCAUAUAUGCUGGAAUUCUUUAUGCGUGAAACGGAUUCGUCUGCCCAAGGAUGGGUCUGCGGCCUAUCAGGUAGUAGUGGGUGUAAUGUACCUACUAGCCGACGACGGGUACGGGUUGUGAGAGCAAGAGCCCGGAGAUGGAUUCUGAGACAUGAAUCCAGGCCCUACGGGGCGCAGCAGGCGCGAAAACUUUACAAUGCGGGAAACCGUGAUAAGGGGACACCGAGUGCCAGCAUCAUAUGCUGGCUGUCCGGGUGUGUAAAAUACACCUGUUAGCAAGGGCCGGGCAAGACCGGUGCCAGCCGCCGCGGUAACACCGGCGGCCCGAGUGGUGAUCGUGAUUAUUGGGUCUAAAGGGUCCGUAGCCGGUUUGGUCAGUCCUCCGGGAAAUCUGACGGCUUAACCGUUAGGCUUUCGGGGGAUACUGCCAGACUUGGAACCGGGAGAGGUAAGAGGUACUACAGGGGUAGGAGUGAAAUCUUGUAAUCCCUGUGGGACCACCUGUGGCGAAGGCGUCUUGCCAGAACGGGUUCGACGGUGAGGGACGAAAGCUGGGGGCACGAACCGGAUUAGAUACCCGGGUAGUCCCAGCCGUAAACGAUGCUCGCUAGGUGUCACGCAUGGCGCGACCGUGUCUGGUGCCGCAGGGAAGCCGUGAAGCGAGCCACCUGGGAAGUACGGCCGCAAGGCUGAAACUUAA